UCUGCGGCUAUUCAAACAAAAGAGUUGACGAUCUUCUCCGUUUGCUGAAUGAUGACGUUGUGCCGUACUACAAGCAUUUGGGAGAUCUGCAGGCUGCUGGCAGAACAAAUUCAAAAUCUCCCCAGGAUGUGUCUGAAGCUGCACAAAGGAUGAAAUCUAAUGGACUUGGCCAAAGUGUGACCUACAACUCAGAAGGCCAGUUUAGCAUUCCCUCAGAGACCAUUCCUGGUCAUGUGUAUUCUGUGAACUUGGUUUAUAUGACUUGUGAUUGUAAAUAUGCUUUAAAAGGCAAUUUGUGUAAACAUUUAGAGUUUGCAAAGAUGAUUUCUGCUGAAAAUGGAACAGAGGUUGAGGACAUACGCCAACGGGUGGCAAAUGCACUCUGGACAGCCCAAGAUUACACUGUGCAUAUGAACUCUGUUAUAGUGGACAGUGGUACACAGCUAGGCAUUGUAAACAUGGAGACAGAAAAAUGCUCUUGCUUGACAAGUAGCUUAGGAGAGGCAUGUGUGUGCUUGAAGGUGUUGUGGAACUUAACGCAAAAGGCUCAUACGGAGGAAUCAAAUCCACCUGAAAUAUCAAAACCAAAUGAUCACACGUAUUCAAUGGCAAAUCAGGCACAGACACUGCAACCAAAUUCAUCAAAGUGGUGUAUAAAGAAAUUAGUGACUGAUUUAAAUGAAUGGUGUAAUAGCACAGACUACAAGCCAUCCCUUGAUAUGUUUUCAGCAGUGAAGCAUGCUCACCACAUAAUGUUUGGGAAAUACACUAGGAUUUGCAGAAAAAGAAAGAUUGAGAGACUCCAUCCUUACAGAAAAUCUAUCGAGUUGUCUAGAAAGAGAGCUUUGAAUGUGCACAACUAUCAGCUUGCAAAACCUGGUAAGAGACUUCUUUAUACUUCCCGUCCAGAUUCGACCUUCCAAAAGAAACGGGGAAAGCCUUCCAGCAACCGCGCAAAGUCAAUGAGGGAUGUCUACACAAAAGACUGAGAAUCCUACUAUUAGUGCUACUAGCUCCAAUUGCUUAUAGCAAAUUUCGAUGUAAUCUGUAUGUAACUUUUAAAAUGAACUGUCUUUGUAGUUUAAAACCUCAGUAUGCAAUUACAAGAAGUGUGUUAUGUAAUUGUUUGAGAAGAGAGGGAGAAAUAACUUCAAGUAUGCUGCUCUUGUAAAGGUUUUAAUUUCCAAAGUUAAGCAUUAGCACUGACAAAGUUUUGUUUUAUUAUUUUUUUUAUGUGUUUGUAAAGUAGUACAAAAGUUAACAUUUGAAAAAAAGUACACAAAAUACAAUAAAGAACUAUCAAGUGGAAAA
This is a long non-coding RNA of Astyanax mexicanus (Mexican tetra), 1311 nucleotides long. RefSeq lists it as uncharacterized. The record is from RefSeq and is a predicted model, not a curated record. The transcript is spliced from 2 exons. Lineage: Eukaryota; Metazoa; Chordata; Actinopteri; Characiformes; Acestrorhamphidae.